GUAGCUCAGCGACAGAGCAUCUGCUUUCCAUGCAGAAGGUCCCGGGUUCAACUCCUGUUGUCCCCCA
Podarcis lilfordi (Lilford's wall lizard) is the source of this 67-nucleotide non-coding RNA. Lineage: Eukaryota; Metazoa; Chordata; Lepidosauria; Squamata; Lacertidae. The record is from the annotation of a GenBank genome assembly.